AAAAGGGAGGGCUAUCUGCAGUCGAGCGAACUGAUUAGAAGCUUGCUUCUAUGACGUUAGCGGCGGACGGGUGAGUAACACGUGGGCAACCUGCCUGUAAGACUGGGAUAACUUCGGGAAACCGAAGCUAAUACCGGAUAGGAUCUUCUCCUUCAUGGGAGAUGAUUGAAAGAUGGUUUCGGCUAUCACUUACAGAUGGGCCCGCGGUGCAUUAGCUAGUUGGUGAGGUAACGGCUCACCAAGGCAACGAUGCAUAGCCGACCUGAGAGGGUGAUCGGCCACACUGGGACUGAGACACGGCCCAGACUCCUACGGGAGGCAGCAGUAGGGAAUCUUCCGCAAUGGACGAAAGUCUGACGGAGCAACGCCGCGUGAGUGAUGAAGGCUUUCGGGUCGUAAAACUCUGUUGUUAGGGAAGAACAAGUACGAGAGUAACUGCUCGUACCUUGACGGUACCUAUCCAGAAAGCCACGGCUAACUACGUGCCAGCAGCCGCGGUAAUACUUAUGUGGCAAGCGUUAUCCGGCAAUUAUCGUGCGUAAAUCGCGCGCAUGCUGUUUCUUAAGACUGAUGUGACAGCACGCUGGUCUUCCGUGGAGGAGCCUUUGAAGUUGAAUAACUCUACGGCCUCCCACCACUACGAUAUUCUAUAUUAUACGUUUCAAUCGUUUAUACUGGCCUAGCAAGCUAUUAUUUAUCUAAUACCCUUUUCUCCCUUCAAUCUUGUUAUCUUCACACUUCCUGAUCUAUCUGGCCGCCAUCUGCAUUUUUAUUGCUUUAUCUCCCCAGCGUACUAUCCAUUACACGUAUUGCG
RNAcentral lists this ribosomal RNA (814 nucleotides) under Bacillus sp. MGP/A5. Its description in RNAcentral is "bacterial SSU rRNA". The stretch from base 5 to 514 matches the Rfam family "Bacterial small subunit ribosomal RNA", at positions 39 to 536 of the family's 1533-position model. The record is from RNAcentral. Lineage: Bacteria; Bacillati; Bacillota; Bacilli; Caryophanales; Bacillaceae.